Molecule: non-coding RNA, 1687 nt
Organism: Xyrichtys novacula (pearly razorfish)
Lineage: Eukaryota; Metazoa; Chordata; Actinopteri; Labriformes; Labridae
Source: the annotation of a GenBank genome assembly
GUUUGAGGCUUCCAACAUCUAAAUAUUUGUACAACCCACUCAGCUGCAAAGGAGAAAUUUAAUGACAUGCUGUGCUGCGAUUCUCUCGCAGUUUGGUUUCAUUUUGAAAUAUUUGAAGAUGCUCGGAAAAAAGACAACACCUUUCAUGAGUAUUGGUACAUACCUGAGAAUCCAUCUGGGACACUGAUCAUAUAAAGUUUAAAAAUAACAAUAUAGAUUAAAAAAAUGUCAUAGUAUGGUACAAUAAAGUGUCUUAGUAUAGUUUGAUAAAAAUGUCAUAGUGUAGUGUGAUAAAAAAUGUCAUAGUAUAGUACGCUACAAACAUCAUAGUAUAGUAAGAUACAAAUGUCAUUGUAUAGAAUGAUAAAAUUGCCAUUGUAUAAUAUAGUUUAAUAUUAAAAUAUUAAAUUUUAGUAUGAAAGUAUGUCAUAUAUCAUUAAAAAAAGGUCAUAGUCUAGAAUAGUAGGAUAUAAAUGUCAUAUUAUUGGAUGUGAAAAUUUUCAAAUUUUAAUGUAUGAAAAAAAAAAUAUUUUAGUGUGAAAAAAGUCACAGUUUUGUGUAAGAGAAAUGUCAUAAAGUAAGUAAAAUUUCAGAUAUAAGUGUAAAUAAUAUAUAUUAGGUUAAAAAUAAUAUAGUAAAAUAUGCUAAAAAUUUUCAAAUUUAAGUGUGAAAAAAUAUGUCAUAUUUCAGUAAAAAAUGUCACAGUUUAGUAUGAUAACAUUUCAUUAUAUAGUACUUUAAAAAUUUCAAAUUUUAGUAUGACAUUUAUUUUUUCAAAUUUUAGCAUAAAAAAGAUCUCACAGUAUAAUAUGUUAAAAAAUUCAAUUUUGGUAUGAAAAAAAAAUAUGUAUAUUUUAGUGUGAAAAAGUGUCUUAACACUCGUUGAUAAAAGUUUAAAAAUUAAUGUGUUUACAGUUUUAAGAAGGGGAUGGUUUGAUUCAUAAAACAGUGAUGUGUAGGAAGUGAACUCGCACCAGCCACUUCAUAUGUGUGGCGUACGCAUAGACAGCAAGGCCAUUUGUGCUCUUUACAUUGUGGUUCUUGAUGCACUGACUCCUAACUUUAUACAAAUGAGCACAAAGUGGAAUAAAUAAACCCAGAAGACUCCUGUAGUUUUCUAAUUAUCAGCUGAAAAUUAGUUGUCAAUUCAACAAAGGAAGUUAAUGAAAGGCUUUAAAACCCAAAAGUAGGACCCAAACUGUGUCAAGCAAGACUGAUUUCUUAUUCUGAAAUCUCUAAUAUCUAUGGGUGCUUUUGUGAUAGGAGGUCGGCUAAUUCAACAAGAGGGAGCUUUUAGUCUGUUUGCGUUUUUCCCCGACUCUUAAAAAAGGACAUCUUUUAUAAAUGAGGAAAGAAAGGCGAGUAAAAAGGAGAGAAAAGGCAGAAUUCACAAAGGACCUCAUUCAAUACAAAAAUGAAACAUGAGCUAAAAUCUGAGUACAUGUGCGCACACACACACACACACACACACACACACACACUGUCACACACAGCAGAGUUGGGUGCCUGAUAUGGGUGCGUUUAAUAAUUCAGAGCAGAGCCGGGGUCAUAUCUGCGAUGUGUUAUGAGGCUGUAGUCCUCGGGGAGAUGCAGAAGGACAGAUGCAGCAUCGGAGCAGUGAGCAGGCUUUCAGCAGAGCAGAAAAAAAAUCAAUGCUUUGAGGAGUGACUAAUAAACCCCUCCUCUG